RNAcentral lists this ribosomal RNA (489 nucleotides) under uncultured bacterium. RNAcentral describes it as "partial 16S ribosomal RNA". It matches the Rfam family "Bacterial small subunit ribosomal RNA", at positions 28 to 507 of the family's 1533-position model. The record is from RNAcentral.
GACGAACGCUGGCGGCGUGCUUAACACAUGCAAGUCGAACGGAAAGGCCCCCAUCUUGGUGGGGGUGCUCGAGUGGCGAACGGGUGAGUAACACGUGGGUGAUCUGCCCUGUACUUCGGGAUAAGCUUGGGAAACUGGGUCUAAUACCGGAUAGGACCAUGGUUUAGUGUCUCAUGGUGGAAAGAUUAUUGUUUUGGUGCAGGAUGAGCUCGCGGCCUAUCAGCUUGUUGGUGGGGUAAUGGCCUACCAAGGCGUCGACGGGUAGCCGGCCUGAGAGGGUGGACGGCCACAUUGGGACUGAGAUACGGGCCAGACUCCUACGGGAGGCAGCAGUGGGGAAUAUUGCACAAUGGGCGCAAGCCUGAUGCAGCGACGCCGCGUGGGGGAUGACGGCCUUCGGGUUGUAAACUCCUUUCGUUAGGGACGAAGCCGCACUUUUUUUGGGUGUGGUGACGGUACCUUUGUGAAGAAGCACCGGCUAACUACGUG